RNAcentral lists this small RNA (535 nucleotides) under Pongo abelii (Sumatran orangutan). RNAcentral describes it as "processed transcript". The record is from RNAcentral. Lineage: Eukaryota; Metazoa; Chordata; Mammalia; Primates; Hominidae.
ACAGUAUCCCUGAGAGUUAGGGAGAAUGUGUUUAUUUGAUUAGCUCCCCCUGAAAGGCAAAUAUCAAUGUGGCCAAGAAUUUGGACUUUGAACCCAGGCAACCUUCCCAUUGCUUGAAAGGGCAACUUCUCAAUCCGUACAGCCAAGAUGCAGCAGCACGUGUGUGAAACCAUCAUCCGCAUCUUUAAGAGACACGGAGCUGUUCAGUUGUGUACCCCACUACUACUUCCCCGAAACAGACAAAUAUAUGAGCACAACGAAGCUGCCCUAUUCAUGGACCACAGCGGGAUGCUGGUGAUGCUUCCUUUUGACCUGCGGAUCCCUUUUGCAAGAUAUGUGGCAAGAAAUAAUAUAUUGAAUUUAAAACGAUACUGCAUAGAACGUGUGUUCAGGCCGCGCAAAUUAGAUCGAUUUCAUCCCAAAGAACUUCUGGAGUGUGCAUUUGAUAUUGUCACUUCUACCACCAACAGCUUUCUGCCAACUGCUGAAAUUAUCUACACUAUCUAUGAAAUCAUCCAAGAGUUUCCAGCACUUC